Molecule: ribosomal RNA, 417 nt
Filed under: uncultured Oleomonas sp.
Lineage: Bacteria; Pseudomonadati; Pseudomonadota; Alphaproteobacteria; Acetobacterales; Acetobacteraceae
Description: bacterial SSU rRNA
Rfam family: Bacterial small subunit ribosomal RNA
Source: RNAcentral
AACGCCAUGGUUUCGGCCAUGGAGUGGCGCACGGGUGAGUAACGCGUGGGAACCUGCCUAGCAGUAUGGGACAACCGCGGGAAACUGCGGCUAAUACCGUAUACGCCCGUCUUUGGGAGACCAGUGGCGGGGAAAGAUUGAUCGCUGUUAGAGGGGCCCGCGUCGGAUUAGGUAGUUGGUGGGGUAAAGGCCUACCAAGCCUGCGAUCCGUAGCUGGUCUGAGAGGAUGAUCAGCCACACUGGGACUGAGACACGGCCCAGACUCCUACGGGAGGCAGCAGUGGGGAAUAUUGGACAAUGGGCGCAAGCCUGAUCCAGCAAUGCCGCGUGAGUGAUGAAGGACUUAGGGUUGUAAAGCUCUUUCAAACGCGACGAUGAUGACGGUAGCGUGAGAAGAAGCCCCGGAUAACUCCGUGC